RNAcentral lists this ribosomal RNA (472 nucleotides) under uncultured bacterium. RNAcentral's name for it is "partial 16S ribosomal RNA". It matches the Rfam family "Bacterial small subunit ribosomal RNA", at positions 28 to 507 of the family's 1533-position model. The record is from RNAcentral.
GACGAACGCUGGCGGCGUGCUUAACACAUGCAAGUCGAACGAUGAACCCGGAGCUUGCUCUGGGGGAUUAGUGGCGAACGGGUGAGUAACACGUGAGUAACCUGCCCUGGACUCUGGGAUAAGCGUUGGAAACGACGUCUAAUACCGGAUAGGACCUUGGAUCGCAUGAUCUGGGGUGGAAAGUUUUUUCGGUCUGGGAUGGACUCGCGGCCUAUCAGCUUGUUGGUGAGGUAAUGGCUCACCAAGGCGUCGACGGGUAGCCGGCCUGAGAGGGUGACCGGCCACACUGGGACUGAGACACGGCCCAGACUCCUACGGGAGGCAGCAGUAGGGAAUAUUGAACAAUGGGCGAAAGCCUGAUGCAGCAACGCCGCGUGCGGGAUGACGGCCUUCGGGUUGUAAACCGCUUUUAGUAGGGAAGAAGGGCUUCGGCUUGACGGUACCUGCAGAAAAAGGACCGGCUAACUACGUG